UGGGGAGCAUAGGACAGUGGGGACAGUGUCUGGGGAGGCAGUACGCUGGAGGGCUGGAGGAUGGAGAUGUCCGGCUGCCCAAGAUGCCGGAACCUGUUUUGCAGAAGCAAGAACUUCAAAAGGCAGUGAGCUGUGCUCUGAAGGAGGGCAAGUGCUAUGUCCAUGGUUGGUGACACAGCAGUGACAGAGCCAGAAGGGGGCUCCUGAUCAUUCAUGGACCAGAGGAGCAAGAAACAAAGCUUUGGCAACCCACCCCAGGGCCUCUUGUUACAGAAAAGCCUGACAAUCAGAGUCGUGUUUGAGUCCAUCUGGCUCCAAGCCUGGGCUGUAUCAACCAGGGACACUGACUUAAAUGUCCCAGGUGUGGAGCCUGGGUCUGGUCCCAACCUUGCACCUAACUCCAGGUGACCUUGACCGAUCCCUUCUCUGGGCCUCUGUUUCUCUGUCUGUAGAGGAGGCAGAGUAAAGAAGACCUUAAGGGCCCUUGGAGCUUGAACGGCCCCCUGAUUCUGUGUCAAUUUGGGGUUAGAAACCCCCUGACAUCCCAGAAUUCCUUUCAUGGCUACCGUCAGUGAAGAAGCACAAAUUCAGCUCCGUGUUUAUUGACUCGGCUUAUAACUUCGGCUCCCUUUCAGGGAAUGAGCUCAAGGAAGCUGUAUGCCAGCAGCCAUUCACGGAGCCUAAGUCAUUAGGGAGAAAAUUAGAGUUCGGGGAUGAAGGUGCUGUUUUGCCUCCUACUUCUGCCCCCUCCUCCUCGUUCCACUCACCAAGCAGCAGGGACCCCCUCUGGCAGAUGCUGGAGUGGGGGACGGCAGUCAUGAGUUUGCAACUUACAGGUAAGACAGUCACCUAUUUCCAGAGGACACUGGAUUCUGAUAGCUGGAAGGAAAAUGAGACUUCUUUACAACCACAGUCAUCAACAAAAGGGUCUGAGCUGUCCCAGAAGAUCAGUGUCUGAAGAGAAACCGGGGGCUUCCCAGGGUCCAGAUGCAGCUCCCGUGAUGAGUCCCAGUUGGUCCAGGAGAAGUCGUCUUUCGGGGGCUCUUUCAGGGAAUCCGAGUCCUCAGAGAAUUGAGAUCUGCCAUACCAGGGCCCGUGGCGUCUUUGCCCGCUGAAGCCAAGGAUUUCCUGUGAAGCUCUUCCAGAUCACACGGCCGGUGGCAAUGACCAACAGCAGUAGCC
Long non-coding RNA from Manis javanica (Malayan pangolin), 1182 nucleotides. RefSeq lists it as uncharacterized. The record is from RefSeq and is a predicted model, not a curated record. NCBI's taxonomy places the organism in Eukaryota, Metazoa, Chordata, Mammalia, Pholidota, Manidae.